Long non-coding RNA from Cavia porcellus (domestic guinea pig), 1214 nucleotides. RefSeq lists it as uncharacterized. Lineage: Eukaryota; Metazoa; Chordata; Mammalia; Rodentia; Caviidae. The record is from RefSeq and is a predicted model, not a curated record. The transcript is spliced from 3 exons.
UGCAUACACGGGCUGCUGGUGAGAGAUCCAGAUAGCAGCCGCUGUCAGUGCUCUGGCUGGGGGACAAGAAGAGCCAAAUCCUCCCCACCUCCUGCCACCCCACCAUCCCCAGCCUGGUGGUAAGCAACAAGCUGAUAUGGAGAAACACAGGCUGUGAUGAUAGCUAUUGAGGGGAGGAGAACAAGAAGCCAACAAGAAGCCAAGCCCUUCCUGCGAAUCAACACCAUGUGAGGGCCACUGAGGGGAGAACCAGACAUCAGCACUUUCUGUCACAUGGGCUGGGAGAGCAGAGGAACCAAGGUCCCCCCACUACCACCUCACACACGCCUGUAAUUGACCAGCUGAUCUGGAGAAACACAGGCUACAUGGUAGCUAUCAAGAUUCACUGAGAGGAGGAAACAGGAAAAGAGAGGUGAAGUAAAGUCGAAGCGCCUGAGAAGGAGAGAAUCCUGAGAAUGCUGCGGCACACACAGAUUUUGAAGCAAGUCUCUCUGACUUUGGAAAUGAGUGACGCAGUGUGUGGUUGUUUUGUUUAUUUAUUUUCUUUAGUUUUCCCUCUCUGGUCCAGCAAGAGGACAGGAUGUUCAUAAUAGUGACUGUUCCUCAGUUUGUUUGUUUUUUUCCAAAGCAUUAUCUAAGCAGUCCAAAUUUCCUACGUAAGGAAUGGCCUCGCCUUCCAGGCUCUUGGGGUGUGCUGUAUGUAGUACCUGGAGAUCAGGUCACCUAAACUAGCAGUUCCCAAAAGAUUUCUUCCAAGGAAGGCCGAACUAAAUGUCAGUGAUUUCCUUUAAUAUUUACAUGUAUCCACACAUCCUCUGCCAUCAGCAUUUCUACACAUGCUGACCUCUAGCCUUUUCAGCUUUUGCGCUUCUUUCCUUCUUCAUGUUACUCUCAAAUAUAUAUUCACUAGAAAUGAGAUGAGGGGGUACCGUCAUAGUAUGGAGCCAGGCAAGUCUAGUCUGGAACACAUUGGGAAGGUCUCAGAACCUCUCACUGUCUUUUGGUUUCCUCAUAUGUAACUGGAGAUUAAAUGGUGUUUGAUCUGCAGCCCAGUGAAACUGAUAAAUCAAUUUAGUUUCAAGUGCUUUUAAUUAGGAUAAUAAAAAGACAAAGAACCCCCCCCCAACUUAUAUGAGACCAGUAAAAUCCACAGAGAAAUCAAAAGAAAACUAUGGCUCAUAGUUACUUAUGAUUGAUGAAUGAUACCAAAUAAA